RNAcentral lists this ribosomal RNA (422 nucleotides) under uncultured prokaryote. RNAcentral's name for it is "bacterial SSU rRNA". It matches the Rfam family "Bacterial small subunit ribosomal RNA", at positions 338 to 774 of the family's 1533-position model. The record is from RNAcentral.
CCUACGGGUGGCAUCAGUGGGGAAUAUUGGGCAAUGGGCGCAAGCCUGACCCAGCAACGCCGCGUGAGGGAAGAAGGCUUUCGGGUUGUAAACCUCUGUCCUUGGUGACGAAGAAAGUGACGGUAGCCAAGGAGGAAGCCCCGGCUAACUACGUGCCAGCAGCCGCGGUAAUACGUAGGGGGCGAGCGUUGUCCGGAAUUACUGGGCGUAAAGGGUGCGUAGGUGGCCUUUUAAGUUGGAUGUGAAAUACCCGGGCUUAACUUGGGGGGUGCAUCUAAUACUGGAGGGCUAGAGUGCAGGAGAGGGAAGCGGAAUUCCUAGUGUAGCGGUGAAAUGCGUUGAUAUCCUGCAGAACACCGGUGGCGAAGGCGGAUCUCUGGAACGCAACUGACGCUGAGGCGCGAAAGUCGGGGGAGCAAACA